AUAUACAGGACACGACAAGACGAGGACAAAAGACGUCUGAACUGCUAUGCCACCUUGGGACAGGAUCAAUGGAGACCACACCUGGAUGCUGCUCUCAAACUCUCCCGACUAAACCUGCUGUCUCUCAUGGAUCCCUCCAACUCUCAAACUCACUUGACUCAACAUGCUGGCUCUCAGGGUCCCUCCAAAUGCCUUCUACAAGAAGAUGGAGGGGAUCUUUGCGGAUCAUGGUUACCAUGAGAAGAACUGAGAAGUUCAGACGUAAAUUGGGAAACAUGCUAAGGACUUACAAACAGGCCAAAGAACGUUGCCGGGAGACAGGCCAAGGGAGAACCACUUGGCUGUGUUUUGAGGUUAAUGUCUCUCUGGUGCAUAGGGUUAUGAUUAACACAAUAUGAUCUUCAGGAUUUCUUAUUCCCCUCAGGUAAUGAAUGACAUACAGUUUAUAAAUCAUUCACUAUUUAUUCUAACAAAAGUUGAAACAAAAAAAAACAUGUUUUGGUGUUCACACAUGUAUUUGUUUGAUUUACAAAGUCUGAACAGGACCAAGAAAAACAUCUACCGGUAUACUGAAAUUGAGAUGGUUGGCUCUAUUCUUAUGCAUUUCACUGUUCCUGUGCAUGUGACAAUAACACUUGAACUCAGAGGAGAAGGUGGUUCGAGACCUCAAUGCUGGAGGGAGUGGCUGCCAUGCAGCACAUUCUUCAGCAGAUGCUUAUAAGUCAGAAAGAAAGGGUUACACUGUUGAAAAAGGAAAAUAAAUGAUGCUUGACAUUC
This is a long non-coding RNA of Oncorhynchus kisutch (coho salmon), 777 nucleotides long. RefSeq lists it as uncharacterized. The record is from RefSeq and is a predicted model, not a curated record. Lineage: Eukaryota; Metazoa; Chordata; Actinopteri; Salmoniformes; Salmonidae. The transcript has 2 exons.